RNAcentral lists this ribosomal RNA (1093 nucleotides) under Salmonella enterica subsp. enterica serovar Typhimurium. RNAcentral describes it as "partial 23S ribosomal RNA". It matches the Rfam family "Bacterial large subunit ribosomal RNA", at positions 628 to 1637 of the family's 2925-position model. The record is from RNAcentral. Lineage: Bacteria; Pseudomonadati; Pseudomonadota; Gammaproteobacteria; Enterobacterales; Enterobacteriaceae.
UUAUAUUCUGUAGCAAGGUUAACCGUAUAGGGGAGCCGGAGGGAAACCGAGUCUUAAUUGGGCGUUAAGUUGCAGGGUAUAGACCCGAAACCCGGUGAUCUAGCCAUGGGCAGGUUGAAGGUUGGGUAACACUAACUGGAGGACCGAACCGACUAAUGUUGAAAAAUUAGCGGAUGACCUGUGGCUGGGGGUGAAAGGCCAAUCAAACCGGGAGAUAGCUGGUUCUCCCCGAAAGCUAUUUAGGUAGCGCCUCGUGAAUUCAUCUCCGGGGGUAGAGCACUGUUUCGGCUAGGGGGCCAUCCCGGCUUACCAACCCGAUGCAAACUGCGAAUACCGGAGAAUGUUAUCACGGGAGACACACGGCGGGUGCUAACGUCCGUCGUGAAGAGGGAAACAACCCAGACCGCCAGCUAAGGUCCCAAAGUCAUGGUUAAGUGGGAAACGAUGUGGGAAGGCCCAGACAGCCAGGAUGUUGGCUUAGAAGCAGCCAUCAUUUAAAGAAAGCGUAAUAGCUCACUGGUCGAGUCGGCCUGCGCGGAAGAUGUAACGGGGCUAAACCAUGCACCGAAGCUGCGGCAGCGAACGUAUCACCCAAGACAACUUUACGGAGUUGACGAUUGACGGAGCGAAGCGACGUCAAAGCGUUCAUUAAAGUCGAGUUGGCUUAGGGAUACGUUCGUUGGGUAGGGGAGCGUUCUGUAAGCCUGUGAAGGUGUGUCGUGAGGCAUGCUGGAGGUAUCAGAAGUGCGAAUGCUGACAUAAGUAACGAUAAAGCGGGUGAAAAGCCCGCUCGCCGGAAGACCAAGGGUUCCUGUCCAACGUUAAUCGGGGCAGGGUGAGUCGACCCCUAAGGCGAGGCCGAAAGGCGUAGUCGAUGGGAAACGGGUUAAUAUUCCCGUACUUGGUGUUACUGCGAAGGGGGGACGGAGAAGGCUAUGUUGGCCGGGCGACGGUUGUCCCGGUUUAAGCGUGUAGGUGUGUGUUCCAGGUAAAUCCGGUUCACUUUAACACUGAGGCGUGAUGACGAGGCACUACGGUGCUGAAGCAACAAAUGCCCUGCUUCCAGGAAAAGCCUCUAAGCAUCAGGUAACAU